UUUUUUUUCUUGGUAAACUUCAAAUACCACUCCUGUGGUUUCAUACUUUCGCACUUUAGUAUCCUAUGAUUUAAAGUGUUUUAAUAUAUUUAGCAUUCUGUGGUUUCAUUUUUUUCUUUUCGUCAGUUCCUCAGUUAACAUUUCGAGGUAUUAAAGUGUUUUAAUAUAUUUAGCAUUCUGUGGUUUCAUUUUUUUCUUUUCGUCAGUUCCUCAGUUAACAUUUCGUUAAAUUAUAUAUAAAAAACAUCAGAUACCGCACUUAAGUUUAUUGAAUAUUCACUUUAAUACCUUUUAGUUUUAACUAUGUUACUGAUUUAAUGAAAAAAAAAAUCUGACAAAAAGAGAAAAAUAAAAUUACAAGGUACAAAAUUGAUACACUUUAAAACACAUGGUACUAAAGUGGAAAGUGUGAAACCACAAGGAGCAUAUUUGAAGUGUACCCUUUUUUUAAAAAUCAUUGUUUGUUGGAUAGAAAGUCAAUUUUGAGUUGUAGU
This 494-nucleotide long non-coding RNA is filed under the name Ananas comosus (pineapple). Its description in RNAcentral is "long non-coding RNA (ACOM_LNC023729)". Lineage: Eukaryota; Viridiplantae; Streptophyta; Magnoliopsida; Poales; Bromeliaceae. The record is from RNAcentral.